GGGAUUUUUUGUUGCAUUUUUUCCAUAACGAAUAGCGUACUAAUCCGUUUUUCUGGCUGUGCUUCAUGUACCUGGUGCCUAAAGGCUAUAAUUAAUAAAUAAUCUUAGGUCUAUGCAAUACGUUUAUGAGGUUGCCCGGCUCUCUAUUCAUAGAGCAUGAGACUCUAUUUCAGGUCGUGGGUUCGAGUGAUGCUGAUCAGAGGAAAGCACUAUUGCUACAGUGCUGAAGGAAGGAAGGAUAACAACCGCAUGGAUAACAACCCUUGACCGAUGCGGAAACGGACUUGGAACCGGCAAAGAUGGGGGGUGUAAGGGAUUCUGGGGAAAUCCCUUCGCUCGCCGCGGGAUCAUCGGAAAAACUACCGGAAAACCCGGAGUAAUUGUUUAUGCUGAUCCACCGACAGCAUGCAGUGUGAUAGCCUCACCACCAAAAAAUACGAGUUACAAUGGAAAUUGGAUUGCCUUGAUAGCCAGAUACAAUUGCAGCUUUGAAAUAAAAGUUCGGAUGGCACAGGAAGCCGGUUACGAUGCCGCCAUAAUUCAUAACGUUAAUAGCAAUGAAUUAGCUCUCGUCAUAGCGCAGUGCUUGCGACGAUCCCUACUGAUGUCACCAGCAGCGCUGGUGGUGCUUGUUUAUCGCC
Diachasma alloeum is the source of this 641-nucleotide long non-coding RNA. RefSeq lists it as uncharacterized. The record is from RefSeq and is a predicted model, not a curated record. The transcript is spliced from 3 exons. NCBI's taxonomy places the organism in Eukaryota, Metazoa, Arthropoda, Insecta, Hymenoptera, Braconidae.